Molecule: long non-coding RNA, 532 nt
Filed under: Phoenix dactylifera (date palm)
Lineage: Eukaryota; Viridiplantae; Streptophyta; Magnoliopsida; Arecales; Arecaceae
Description: long non-coding RNA (PDAC_LNC001927)
Source: RNAcentral
AAUCUUUGGCCACUUUGGUUAGUAGAUUGCGAUCUCAUGACAAAGAUUAGUCAAAGCAUGCUUGUCCUUGAACUCUUUUUUUCUUCUUCUUCUUGUUUUUGGAUAGAAAAGGGAGGCUACCCACCCAGAAUUUUUUGAUAUAAAAGAGAGAAGAACAACAUAGGGAGUGCGCCUUAGUAUGCCCAAGAAAUUAGAACCAAUAGACGAUGAGAUCUCAUCAAAGAGUUUGACAAUGAUGCAGAGGGAAGAAGUGAGAGGUAAAAUAGGGAGGAGAAUGACUUGGAACAUGCCUGCAGCCACCUACAAUUGGAGGAAAGAAAGAUAAAAGGACGAAAACAAAAAGACAUGCAGCUUCUCAGAUAGAAAACCACACGUUGGACGAUCGCCAUUGACGAAGAUUCUUCCCCAUAGAAACAUUCUUUUAUUCCGACCCCUCAAACCAGCCACUCGCGAACAACUUGUGCUCAGAUAAACAUUCUCCCAUCUCAGCUCAAGCAUGGCUCAAAUCUCUUCAAGCUUGGCUUGGUUCCCC